GUUGGGUAAUGAAGUCAAUGCUCUACAAGUGUCGGGGAAACGUUGCCCCCUACUGCUUAUAAGCUCCAGGAGAACAGCAGAGAAGUGGAGAAAUCAAUUUAGGAAACAGUCAUAACAACAGAGUUUCGAUCUCCAAGGAACAAACAGGGAUAACUAGAUACUACAUUCCUGAAGAUAGCAAAACAACAGUUUAACAAAGUCAGAGGAGAACAAAUGCAAUUCCUUGCCCACAAGGAGGAUAAUCCUGCUUAAGCACCUGGCUUUUGUCUGUUUCAGUGCAGUUAGGUUGGGCUAUGUAAGGAGAAUGCACAUCACUGGUGGUUAUGAUAACAUGUUUUUGAUAAUGUUCCAAUUAUACUUCUGAUGCUACCUCACGAAAUGUAUACCUCCAUCCCUCAAGCAUGCCUACCACAAACAUUUCUGUAAGCAAAAUUUGAAAUUUUGAAAUUUUGCUCGAAAACCAAGCUUUUAAUUGAAGUCCUUACAUUUCAUUUGUUUCGGAGCUUUUGCUGGGGAUAGAGAAAAGUGGUAAAUAUUUUUUGGCAGGAGGUUCCAUGUGCAGACGUUCCCUUACCUAAAG
This is a long non-coding RNA of Oxyura jamaicensis (ruddy duck), 580 nucleotides long. RefSeq lists it as uncharacterized. The record is from RefSeq and is a predicted model, not a curated record. NCBI's taxonomy places the organism in Eukaryota, Metazoa, Chordata, Aves, Anseriformes, Anatidae. The transcript has 3 exons.